ACCGAAUGCUUGCAUUCACCGUAAGAAGUUGAGUGGCGGACGGGUGAGUAACACGUGGGUAACCUGCCUAAAAGAAGGGGAUAACACUUGGAAACAGGUGCUAAUACCGUAUAUCUCUAAGGAUCGCAUGAUCCUUAGAUGAAAGAUGGUUCUGCUAUCGCUUUUAGAUGGACCCGCGGCGUAUUAACUAGUUGGUGGGGUAACGGCCUACCAAGGUGAUGAUACGUAGCCGAACUGAGAGGUUGAUCGGCCACAUUGGGACUGAGACACGGCCCAAACUCCUACGGGAGGCAGCAGUAGGGAAUCUUCCACAAUGGACGCAAGUCUGAUGGAGCAACGCCGCGUGAGUGAAGAAGGUCUUCGGAUCGUAAAACUCUGUUGUUAGAGAAGAACACGAGUGAGAGUAACUGUUCAUUCGAUGACGGUAUCUAACCAGCAAGUCACGGCUAACUACGUGCCAGCAGCCGCGGUAAUACGUAGGUGGCAAGCGUUGUCCGGAUUUAUUGGGCGUAAAGGGAACGCAGGCGGUCUUUUAAGUCUGAUGUGAAAGCCUUCGGCUUAACCGGAGUAGUGCAUUGGAAACUGGAAGACUUGAGUGCAGAAGAGGAGAGUGGAACUCCAUGUGGUUAG
This 630-nucleotide ribosomal RNA is filed under the name Ligilactobacillus salivarius. RNAcentral describes it as "bacterial SSU rRNA". It matches the Rfam family "Bacterial small subunit ribosomal RNA", at positions 66 to 680 of the family's 1533-position model. The record is from RNAcentral. Lineage: Bacteria; Bacillati; Bacillota; Bacilli; Lactobacillales; Lactobacillaceae.